Molecule: ribosomal RNA, 1240 nt
Filed under: Liquidambar phytoplasma
Lineage: Bacteria; Bacillati; Mycoplasmatota; Mollicutes; Acholeplasmatales; Acholeplasmataceae
Description: bacterial SSU rRNA
Rfam family: Bacterial small subunit ribosomal RNA
Source: RNAcentral
UGAGUAACACGUAAGUAAUCUACCUUUAAGACGAGGAUAACAACCGGAAACAGUUGCUAAGACUGGAUAGGAAAUAAAAAGGCAUCUUUUUAUUUUUAAAAGACCUUUUUCGGAAGGUAUGCUUAAAGAUGAGCUUGCGCCACAUUAGUUUGUUGGUGGGGUAAUGGCCUACCAAGACGAUGAUGUGUAGCUGGACUGAGAGGUCGAACAGCCACAUUGGGACUGAGACACGGCCCAAACUCCUACGGGAGGCAGCAGUAGGGAAUUUUCGGCAAUGGAGGAAACUCUGACCGAGCAACGCCGCGUGAACGAUGAAGUAUUUCGGUAUGUAAAGUUCUUUUAUUGAAGAAGAAAAAAUAGUGGAAAAACUAUCUUGACGUUAUUCAAUGAAUAAGCCCCGGCUAACUAUGUGCCAGCAGCCGCGGUAAGACAUAGGGGGCGAGCGUUAUCCGGAAUUAUUGGGCGUAAAGGGUGCGUAGGCGGUUAGGAAAGUCUAUAAUUUAAUUUCAGUGCUUAACGCUGUCUUGUUAUAGAAACUACCUUGACUAGAGUUAGAUAGAGGCAAGCGGAAUUCCAUGUGUAGCGGUAAAAUGUGUAAAUAUAUGGAGGAACACCAGAAGCGUAGGCGGCUUGCUGGGUCUUGACUGACGCUGAGGCACGAAAGCGUGGGUAGCAAACAGGAUUAGAUACCCUGGUAGUCCACGCCGUAAACGAUGAGUACUAAGUGUCGGGAUAAAACUCGGUACUGAAGUUAACACAUUAAGUACUCCGCCUGAGUAGUACGUACGCAAGUAUGAAACUUAAAGGAAUUGACGGGACUCCGCACAAGCGGUGGAUCAUGUUGUUUAAUUCGAAGAUACACGAAAAAUCUUACCAGGUCUUGACAUGCUCUGCAAAGCUAUAGAAAUAUAGUGGAGGUUAUCAGGGACACAGGUGGUGCAUGGUUGUCGUCAGUUCGUGUCGUGAGAUGUUAGGUUAAGUCCUAAAACGAGCGCAACCCUUGUCGUUAGUUACCAGCACGUAAUGGUGGGCACUUUAACGAGACUGCCAAUUAAACAUUGGAGGAAGGUGAGGAUUACGUCAAAUCAUCAUGCCCCUUAUGAUCUGGGCUACAAACGUGAUACAAUGGCUGUUACAAAGAGUAGCUGAAGCGCGAGUUUUUAGCCAAUCUCAAAAAAGCAGUCUCAGUUCGGAUUGAAGUCUGUAACUCGACUUCAUGAAGUUGGAAUCGCUAGUAAUC